CCUACGGGAGGCAGCAGUGGGGAAUCUUAGACAAUGGGCGCAAGCCUGAUCUAGCCAUGCCGCGUGAGUGACGAAGGCCUUAGGGUCGUAAAGCUCUUUCGCCAGAGAUGAUAAUGACAGUAUCUGGUAAAGAAACCCCGGCUAACUCCGUGCCAGCAGCCGCGGUAAUACGGAGGGGGUUAGCGUUGUUCGGAAUUACUGGGCGUAAAGCGUACGUAGGCGGAUUAGUCAGUCAGAGGUGAAAUCCCAGGGCUCAACCCUGGAACUGCCUUUGAUACUGCUAGUCUUGAGUUCGAGAGAGGUGAGUGGAAUUCCGAGUGUAGAGGUGAAAUUCGUAGAUAUUCGGAGGAACACCAGUGGCGAAGGCGGCUCACUGGCUCGAUACUGACGCUGAGGUACGAAAGUGUGGGGAGCAAACAGGAUUAGAUACCCUGGUAGUCCACACCGUAAACGAUGAAUGCCAGACGUCGGGGAGCUUGCCCUUCGGUGUCACACCUAACGGAUUAAGCAUUCCGCCUGGGGAGUACGGUCGCAAGAUUAAAACUCAAAUGAAUUGACGG
Molecule: ribosomal RNA, 560 nt
Filed under: uncultured Alphaproteobacteria bacterium
Lineage: Bacteria; Pseudomonadati; Pseudomonadota; Alphaproteobacteria
Description: bacterial SSU rRNA
Rfam family: Bacterial small subunit ribosomal RNA
Source: RNAcentral